GGAAUGUAGCUUAAUGGUAGAGUGCUUGCCUAGCACGCAUGAAGCCCUGGGUUCAAUUCCUCAGUACCA
RNAcentral lists this transfer RNA (69 nucleotides) under Dipodomys ordii (Ord's kangaroo rat). It matches the Rfam family "tRNA". From Rfam's summary of the family: Transfer RNA (tRNA) molecules are approximately 80 nucleotides in length. Their secondary structure includes four short double-helical elements and three loops (D, anti-codon, and T loops). Lineage: Eukaryota; Metazoa; Chordata; Mammalia; Rodentia; Heteromyidae. The record is from Rfam by way of RNAcentral.